GGAGGUAGUGACAAUAAAUCACAAUGCGGAACAAUGUUUUGCAAUUGGAUUGAGAACAACGUACAAACCUUAUCGAUAAACAAUUGGAGGGCAAGUCUGGUGCCAGCAGCCGCGGUAAUUCCAGCUCCAAUAGCGUAUAUUAACGUUGUUGCAGUUAAAAAGCUCGUAGUUGAAAUGAAGGGUAGUUGUGUAAUGAAUACAUUCGUGUAUUUUGUUAUUCAACUACCCUCCUUCUAAAUUCGAUAUAUGAGUAUUAAUUUACUUGUAUAUGGUUUUAGACUUUUACUGUGAGAAAAUUAGAGUGUUCAAAGCAGGCAUUUGCUUGAAUAUAUUAGCAUGGAAUAAUCAUGUAUGAUUUUCAUGAUGUAUUUGAUUGGUUUGGUUCAUGAGAAUAAGAUUAAAAGGGACAGUUGGGGGUAUUCAUAUUCAAUAGUCAGAGGUGAAAUUCUCGGAUUUAUGGAAGAUGAACAAGUGCGAAAGCAUUUACCAAGGAUGUUUUCAUUAAUCAAGAA
RNAcentral lists this ribosomal RNA (512 nucleotides) under uncultured Blastocystis sp. RNAcentral describes it as "bacterial SSU rRNA". It matches the Rfam family "Eukaryotic small subunit ribosomal RNA", at positions 460 to 983 of the family's 1831-position model. The record is from RNAcentral. Lineage: Eukaryota; Bigyra; Opalinata; Blastocystidae.